GCCCCCGUGAGAAUGCCCUACAGUUCCUCUCCCAGGAACAAGGAGCUGGCAUCAGGCACACCCUUUUAGCCCAUGACGCCUUGCUUAGCCACACCCCCAAGGGUCCUCAGCAGUGAUAGAUAUUAAGCAAUAAGUGAAAACUUGACUUAGUUACAGCCAAUUAGGGCCGGUAAAUCUCGUGCCAGCCACCGCGGUUAAACGGGGGGCCCAAGUUGACAAACCCUCGGCGUAAAGCGUGGUUAGAAUCUUUUUACUACUAAAGCCGAAAGCCCUCCCUGCUGUCAUAAGCCCUCGAGGGUAAGAAGCCCAAUUACGAAAGUAGCUUUACUUACUCGACUCCACGAAAGCUGUGGCACAAACUGGGAUUAGAUACCCCACUAUGCACAGCCAUAAACUUUGGCACUCUUUUACACAAGUGUCCGCCCGGGUACUACGAGCAGCAGCUUAAAACCCAAAGGACUUGGCGGUGCUUCAGAUCCACCUAGAGGAGCCUGUUCUAGAACCGAUGAUCCCCGUUAAACCUCACCCUCUCUUGCAUCUAUCCCGUCUGUAUACCUCCGUCGCCAGCUUACCCUGUGAAGGGUCAAUAGUAAGUUCAACUAGCCCACCCUCAAAACGUCAGGUCGAGGUGCAGCUUAUGAGAGGGGAAGAAAUGGGCUACAUUCCCUAGCCUUAGGGAAUACGGAUAAUUAACUGAAAUGUUGAUUAGAAGGAGGAUUUAGCAGUAAGGGGAAAAUAGAGUGUUCCCCUGAAGCCGGCCCUAAAGUGCGUACACACCGCCCGUCACUCUCCCCGAAACAACUAACCUUAUACAUUAAUACACCAAACAAAAAUAAAGGGGAGGUAAGUCGUAACAUGGUAAGUGUACCGGAAGGUGCACUUGGGUAAU
Molecule: non-coding RNA, 889 nt
Filed under: Neoclinus chihiroe
Lineage: Eukaryota; Metazoa; Chordata; Actinopteri; Blenniiformes; Labrisomidae
Description: partial 12S rRNA
Rfam family: Bacterial small subunit ribosomal RNA
Source: RNAcentral